This 467-nucleotide ribosomal RNA is filed under the name uncultured bacterium. RNAcentral's name for it is "partial 16S ribosomal RNA". It matches the Rfam family "Bacterial small subunit ribosomal RNA", at positions 30 to 507 of the family's 1533-position model. The record is from RNAcentral.
CCGCACGCUGGCGGCGUGCUUAACACCUGCAAGUCGCACGGAAAGGCCCUGCUUUUGUGGGGUGCUCGAGUGGCGAACGGGUGAGUAACACGUGAGUAACCUGCCCUUGACUUUGGGAUAACUUCAGGAAACUGGGGCUAAUACCGGAUAGGAGCUCCUGCUGCAUGGUGGGGGUUGGAAAGUUUCGGCGGUUGGGGAUGGACUCGCGGCUUAUCAGCUUGUUGGUGGGGUAGUGGCUUACCAAGGCUUUGACGGGUAGCCGGCCUGAGAGGGUGACCGGCCACAUUGGGACUGAGAUACGGCCCAGACUCCUACGGGAGGCAGCAGUGGGGAAUAUUGCACAAUGGGCGGAAGCCUGAUGCAGCAACGCCGCGUGCGGGAUGACGGCCUUCGGGUUGUAAACCGCUUUCGCCUGUGACGAAGCGUGAGUGACGGUAAUGGGUAAAGAAGCACCGGCUAACUACGUG